This is a long non-coding RNA of Erinaceus europaeus (western European hedgehog), 436 nucleotides long. RefSeq lists it as uncharacterized. The transcript has 4 exons. The record is from RefSeq and is a predicted model, not a curated record. Lineage: Eukaryota; Metazoa; Chordata; Mammalia; Eulipotyphla; Erinaceidae.
CGAAGCCGUGAGGGUGUGCAAGUCGUCUCUCUGCGUUCUGAUUUUUCCAGUGCCUGGAACUCAGCGGUGUGAACAAUGAGUGGCCGUGCAAGAGCUCGAUCUACAAGGAGAGUGGACUAUUCCAGGUCCAGUCUGGUUGAACUUCUGCUGAAGGAUGACAAAAAGACUGAAGAAGCAUCUGCUGAGGCCUCAGCUGAGGCAUCAGCUGAGGCAUCAGCUGAGGCUGGGGCUGUGGCUGGGCCUGUGGCUGCGGCUGCGGCUGCUGAACAAAAAAAGGAGGAUACAGCCACUGGAUCACUUGAGCGUCAAGAAGCUGCAGCAGAAAGUACUAGUCAGGAUGUGACUGUGAAAGACACUGGAGUUGAGACCCGCGAGGUCCCCCCUGAAGGGAGAAUGAGAUUUUCACGGAAACAAACUGCUCGUAAGACUCAGGGAG